This 136-nucleotide non-coding RNA is filed under the name uncultured eukaryote. The record is from RNAcentral.
AAGAAAAAGCAACGUUCCAAACAGAGAAGAAAAAGCGUGCGAAAAAUAAAGACAAUUUCAAUUGUGACAAGACAUAAAACUGAGGAGUUCAGUGUAUCUCUUAAAGUUUUUUUUCCCCUUCUUCUUUCUACUACUG